Molecule: ribosomal RNA, 654 nt
Filed under: Cymbidium kanran
Lineage: Eukaryota; Viridiplantae; Streptophyta; Magnoliopsida; Asparagales; Orchidaceae
Description: eukaryotic LSU rRNA
Rfam family: 5.8S ribosomal RNA (bases 242-396)
Source: RNAcentral
UCGAGAUGGAAACACAUCGAGUGAUUCAGAGAACUCACAAAGCGAGCGGUGGCGGGUACCGCUGCGAGAUGACUAUCCCGGCCGUCGCCUCAUCCCCUCCAGGGAGGGGCACGGGGGGCACGACCAGGGAUGGAUGAAAGACAAAUCGAGGCAGCACCGCGCCAAGGGAAAACUAAAAGGCACGGACCCUGCAUUGGGCUCAGAGGCAUGGGGUUCCAUCGUGCUCCAUGCGGAUGGACAUGACUCUUAGUAAUGGAUAUCUUGGUUCUCGCAUCGAUGAAGAGCGCAGCAAAAGAGAUAUGUGGUAUGAAUUGUAGAAUCUCGUGAACCAUCGAGUCUUUGAACUAAAGUUGCGCCUGAGGGAAACCAGCUGAAGGCACAUCCGCCUGGGCAUCAAGAGUCACAUCUCUUCGUGCUAACUCUGUCCCCCCGAUGGGUGCAUGUCAGUCGAGGCACGGAUGCGCAGGGUGGCCCUUCAUGCCCUUCGGUGUGGUGGGCUGAAGAGCCGGUCGUAAUCUCGCUAGCUGCAGGCAACGAGGGGUGGGUGAAAGCUGUGAGCAUAGCCUGUGUUGUCUCAUGCGGAGCAUGAGAGAAUGACGGUUCCCCCUAGGCAAUCCCGACCCACACGUCGAUCUACAUGCGACAGCUUGGAAU